GAUGAACGCUGGCGGCGUGCCUAAUACAUGCAAGUCGAGCGAACAGACGAGGAGCUUGCUCCUCUGACGUUAGCGGCGGACGGGUGAGUAACACGUGGAUAACCUACCUAUAAGACUGGGAUAACUUCGGGAAACCGGAGCUAAUACCGGAUAAUAUAUUGAACCGCAUGGUUCAAUAGUGAAAAACGGUUUUGCUGUCACUUAUAGAUGGAUCCGCGCCGCAUUAGCUAGUUGGUAAGGUAACGGCUUACCAAGGCAACGAUGCGUAGCCGACCUGAGAGGGUGAUCGGCCACACUGGAACUGAGACACGGUCCAGACUCCUACGGGAGGCAGCAGUAGGGAGUCUUCCGCAAUGGGCGAAAGCUUGACGGAGCAACGCCGCGUGAGUGAUGAAGGUCUUCGGAUCGUAAAACUCUGUUAUUAGGGAAGAACAAAUGUGUAAGUAACUAUGCACGUCUUGACGGUACCUAAUCAGAAAGCCACGGCUAACUACGUG
Molecule: ribosomal RNA, 497 nt
Filed under: uncultured bacterium
Lineage: Bacteria
Description: partial 16S ribosomal RNA
Rfam family: Bacterial small subunit ribosomal RNA
Source: RNAcentral